UGCCAGUGUCCUACGCCAAAGCGGCCUCCUUCAUAUCGUCCUCAAUCCCUUCUCACCUCAAACAGUAAGGCACGAAUCUAAUCCCUACACAGUCCUCAAUUAUUGGUCUGCUCCUUACUCUUAGAUAAAUCACUUCCUUUCGCGAAAUGUAUCGUUAUCAUCAGUGAAGCCAACACAAAAACGUAGUUUUCAAUCUCCUCCAUCAAAAUUGAACCCAUCACUGGUCCGCGUGAACUCUGCAACUCCUUAAUCGAUUAAUGAAAAGCGCAUUAACGCAACCGAUUAACCUCUCUUCGGAUGAAUCCAAAUCCAAUAAGGUUCAGAGAGCGGAGAUUUGCUAGUAGAUUUGUUAUUAAAUGAGAAUUUCUUCUUCGGUACAAGCACGGCGUUCAGACUAUCGAGAGACUGCUUAAGUUCCGAGACGGUUUUGAGAGAGGAGCAGAGCUCGUAGGAAGGAAGAAAGUAGGAGUUCUCGGUGACAAGUCGUUCGAGGGAGGACAUAGAGGAGGAAAUAUCGAUGAGAUGAGAUUUCAGGCGAGUGGCAUAGGUGGUGGCAAGUUUCGAUGACUCGGCAAGUAGGGACUCAAUUGAGCGUUGGGAGUCGGAGAAAUUGGAGAGGAAAGGGGUGGCGGAAUCAGUGGUGGAGGAGGAGGAUUUGGUGCGUGUUUGGUGCCGCUUAGAGAGGCGAUCGAGCAUUGCUUGGUGCUUUUUAUGAAAGGUAAGGUCUAGGGGUUUGGUUGGAGGUGGAGAGAUCGUGGUGCUGUCGCCUGUUCUUCUUGCUGUUCUUGUCACCAGCUAGGCGGGAGCUUGUAGUAAGGAAUCAAGGAAUGAUGAAUUUGAUCGCGUUUAAAUGGUUGAUGAGUGGGUCGAACGACAGCGUUUUGGUACCUGUUGUGUCUUGAAACUGGCCCAAAAUUUUCUAAAGUAGGUAUCGGAUACAUAGAAACAAAAACAAGUGGAUUUUUUUUUCCCUAAAUUAAAGGCGAAAACAAGGAACAGUAACACAGAA
This is a long non-coding RNA of Hevea brasiliensis (rubber tree), 1009 nucleotides long. RefSeq lists it as uncharacterized. The transcript has 2 exons. The record is from RefSeq and is a predicted model, not a curated record. NCBI's taxonomy places the organism in Eukaryota, Viridiplantae, Streptophyta, Magnoliopsida, Malpighiales, Euphorbiaceae.